This 385-nucleotide ribosomal RNA is filed under the name uncultured bacterium. Its description in RNAcentral is "bacterial SSU rRNA". It matches the Rfam family "Bacterial small subunit ribosomal RNA", at positions 29 to 415 of the family's 1533-position model. The record is from RNAcentral.
AUUGAACGCUGGCGGCAUGCCUUACACAUGCAAGUCGAACGGCAGCGCGGGGGCAACCCUGGCGGCGAGUGGCGAACGGGUGAGUAAUACUUCGGAACGUGCCCAGUAGCGGGGGAUAACGCAGCGAAAGUUGUGCUAAUACCGCAUAUUCUCUACGGAGGAAAGAGGGGGAUCGCAAGACCUCUCACUAUUGGAGCGGCCGAAGCCUGAUUAGCUUGUUGGUGAGGUAAAAGCUCACCAAGGCGACGAUCAGUAGCUGGUUUGAGAGAACGACCAGCCACACUGGGACUGAGACACGGCCCAGACUCCUACGGGAGGCAGCAGUGGGGAAUUUUGGACAAUGGGGGCAACCCUGAUCCAGCCAUGCCGCGUGCGGGAAGAAGGC